AAGGGAGGGAGUAGUUUUUUGUAGUUCCCCCUUGUUUGGUUAUCCCUUUUGGUGACCAUUGUAUACUUCCUAUGCACUUUGCUACACUCUUUCUGGGUGUUUUUUAUAUACCUACUUUAUUUACCCAUCAAUAAAUAAAUAAAUAAAUAAUUUCAAAGCUGGUCUUUCUUUGAAGUUCCAUCCACAACUGAUUUCCAGAAAUAAAGAAAUUGCAUAUGAAACCCUACCUGAGCAGCAGCGAUUGCUGAUCUUAAAGCAUCAGGAUCUGUUACUAUCAUUCCAAUUACGCCUGCAUUAUUCACCUGUCCAGAAUUCCACAUUUCUCAUUAUCCAAUUUUUAACCAUAAACUGAAAAAAUAAAGUGAUAAAAAAGGAAGUCAGUCGAUACUUUUCAGAAUAUUACACAUAAGAUUACUGAUUCUGAGAUUCAUCUCAAAAUUUUCAAGAAUCAUGUGGAUAGGAGAGUUUGAUGAUAACAUGUAGCGCAUACAUAUGUCACAUGUGUGUGCAUGUUGCUUUAACUUUAUUAAAACAUCAAUUAAAUUCACUAACAAAGCCUUCCUGAAGAAGUCAUGCAACUCCAUACUGAUGUAUAUCAAAGGAGAGAGAAUGAUGGGACCGAGGAAACUAAAGUGGGCACUGGUUCAAUGAUAAUAUAGGAUAUUAACCAAAGUAGAAAUCGGGUGAUGUGUUGAUUAAUAUGAUGGAUUUAAGUAACAGUACAGUGUGGCCUAAAGGGAUGGCAAGGAGAAAGGAUACGGCAUUGGCUUAACUGUUUCCUGACCAGUGAUGAGUUACAAAACACACAAUUCAAAAUUCUCUUCAAACAAAAACUAAGACUAUGAUUGGUUCUCGAAAAGUAUUAAGAAAAGAAAAAAAAUGCUAAAGAAAUCAUUUUCUCAUGUUUGAUUUCAACAUGGAAAAUACAAAAUAAAAUCAAAUUAGUUUAAAAUUUAUACAUUCUAAAAUUAUUUAAUAUUUAUAAAACAGAGGGUUUAAAGAAAUAUAUAAAAAUAAUUUAUUUUCCCCUCAGCCUUUCUUUCCUUCUCCCUUUCCUCUUUAUUUUCUUUUUCUUACAUUUUCCCAAAACCAAACAUAGCCUAAUAGCCUAAUUGUUUUUAACAUGAUAAAUAGACAGAAUAGGGGGGAAUCUCAAGUAGUUCAGUUCAUUUUGGUGGUUGCAUCAGAUACAGUAGUCUAUGACAGUACACAAGACCUGCCCAAUUGAAACUUAGCAAUGUAUCAUUCCCAUUUUCAAGUUCUAAUCAAGAGCCGAAUGUGAAACUGGCAAUAUUCACGUAUCAUCAAAAUCGGUACAGACAUUCAUACAUACAUACAUAUCCCGUCAAAAAGGAGGAAAAAUCAAAGGAAGAAUUGAGUAAUAGAGUAAUUGUGCAAUUGGGUAUGCUAGAAAGGAUCGAUCAGGGAUUUUCAGGAGCAUGCCAUGCUUAUGUCUGCCACAAGAACCAAGAAAAAACGAUGGAAAAUUGAUCAAGAAAUGGGGGUUUCCAAAAUACCAAGAUAUCAAGCUUCCCAAACUGGGUUUUGAUGAAAUCCGCAAGGGAAGCAAUACUUGCAGGCUGCCCAACAUCAAGCUGAUGAAAAAUCACAUUAGAGAGACCAGAUCCUUUGAGGCUUUCAAGAGCUUCAACACCCCUCUUUUCAUCUCUAGCUGUUAGCACCACUGUCACCCCAUUAGCUGCCAACUCCCUACAUAUUCCCAACCCAAUUCCUUUAUUUGCUCCUGUAACAACUGCAUACCUGAAACAGAAAAAAUAUCAGAAAGCAAGCAAAACGGGUGUGAUAUAAUACGUCUUUAGACUUAGAACUUGUAAAAAAGGCAACGGUGGAAAAACCCAGAACUUCUUUGUUGCUUCGGCCAUUGUUUUUGAGAAAGGAUUUGUGUGUGAAGACAGAAAAAUUGGAUUGGCUUUGAGUUUUGUUAUACAGAUAUUGGCGAAGUUUUUCAACUUUCUGUCCCGAAAAUGAAGUUUAUGGGCAUAAAAGUAAAUGCAACGCUGAUUUACUUGUCAAUUCAAUUGUUAUAAAGAUAGAUAUUCGCACAUCAUUUAAUCCAUUGAUCGAGGCAGAAAUCAUAACUACGGCUGUUGAUGGCAGUUGGAUUUUUAUUAGGAAUAUUUGACCCAAAAGCAAAAUCGUUGUGGGUGUGAGACACAGGUAAAGGAAAUAUUUAAUACAUGGUAUUUUUCUUUUAAAGAAAAAGUCUAUGGGUUUAAAAAGAUUUUUUUUUUUUUUUGUUAAUUCAAGAGUAAAUCCAUCCCUUUUUAUUUUUUAUGGGGCUCCGAGGUCAUGGAGUCUAGAUAAGAUUGCAACAUACCAUAAUUUGAAUUCUUUGAAAAACGAUACUUAAAUAUGUCCCUUACAUUAAGUCAAUCUAUAUUUCAUGAUAGCCCUAAAAAGGCCUUGUGCAAGCGGUGAGAUUGGGUUUCUGAUGAACUAUAAGUCUACAAAAGGGGAGAGAGGCGAGUCACGGGAGAUAGAAAUAAGCGCUGAACCGGCAUUGCUGGCUAAAGUUAGAGAGAAAUGAAUGAAGAAGAUAACUGUCACUUCAAUUGGGCCCAUCCAUCAUAUACCCAUAUACCCAAAUGAAAGUAAUCAUAAAAUUGCACAGAAAUCAGAGUCAACACUUGCCCAUACGAAAUUGCAGAACAGAGGAAUCAAACUAGCCAUUUUGAUUAGGAAGACUGGGGGGCAACGUACUGAUGCGGUUUCCUCUGUUUUUGAAACUGCUGCCCAUUAAAAAUGCUCAUAUGGCCAGAGCAGCACUUUUUUUUUCUUUUUUCUUUUUUCCAUCAAUUCAAAUUUAAUCAUGCACGUUAAAACUCAAAUUCAAAGUUUAGUAUAACAUAAUCCUAUUGAUAUAAUUAGUUGUUAAAUUUGACCAUACAAAUUAAGAGGCAUUUGAAAGAAGUAAUAUAAUUGUUACAAUUAAAAAGAAAGUACAUCUUAUUUAAAAGUUCUUGACUCCAUAGGCUCCACUCCACCUGUGGUAUAGAAAUUUUGAGGAAAGCCACAACAGAGGAAGAAAUACGCUAGCCUCUAAGUUAGUUGAGGCCGUCCACCACACUACAUAAAAAUGAAAGCGUAUGAAAAGUGGAAGGAAUCGAAGUCAAACGGGUCUACCCACGGUAUGAUUUGUCCAAUGAAAUUGCAUGGAAAAGAGUAGUAAUCUUAGAGUCAGAGCCCAUCACCAAUAAAGGAUUUUUGAAAAUCUCACCUACUGAAUAAUUCUUAAAAAAUCAUUUCAGCUAAUUUUAUAGAUUUGUAAGAUUUAUAAGCCCUUCCAAUUGAAAACAUUUAUAACAUUUCAAACAAGUAAACUCUUAAUUUUUCAUUAAUUCUAUAAUAAAAGAAGAACAUUUUAAAUAUCUCCAAUAAAAUCAUUCCUAAUUCCAAGGAACAAAUUACUUUCUGAAACAUUAUUUUGUUUCCUCACAUGUUCUAACAAGAUUAUCAUUUCAAGUGGUAUAUUUGGAUAAAAUUACUCUUAUAAUCACCAACUUUUUUAUUCAAGGGAAUCAAGUUCAUCACAAAUUCGUAAUAAAUAUUUUUAAUAUACGAAAAUUUGUAACAAAUAAUAUUUUUAAUACAAGAGCACAUCACCUCCCUUGAUAAAAACAUUUCCUUAAACCCUAAUAUAUUUGAUUAUUGAAAAAUGUGAGAGAAAAAGUAUAAAGAAAGUAAAAGUAAAGAAAAAUAAAAAAAAAGUUAAAAUUAAUAAAUUAUUUUAUAUAUUAUUUCAAACUCAUUUCACUUAUUAUAUAUAUAUUAAAUAAUUUUAAAAUAUAUAAAUUUUUAAUUAAUUUUAAUUAUAUUUGAUUUUCUUUCGUAUUUUUCAUGUUGAAAUCAAAUAUAAAAAAAAAAAAAUUUUUAAUAUUUUUUUUCUUUCUUUAAUAUUUUACGAGACCAAACAUAGCAUAAGGAUCAAAUAAUAGUUUGCUACUAGUAGUUUAACAGUCUAACAUCUCUCCUUCAUCCAGCUCACUUUCUUUUCUCUUUAAUCAUCCACCUUGAUUUUCUUUAAUAUCUUUGGAUUAUAAUUCAUGAUAAAUUUCAUUAAUGGAAUGUAUAUAAAAAAUUAAUAUAUAUAAAGAAAAUAAAGCAGUUUACUAGAUCAAAAUAAAUAAAUAUUCAUGUAACACAAUUUACAAGAAAUUAAAACAUUCAUAGUUUGAUUCUUAAAAAUUUAUUAAUUUAUCUAAUUUAAACCUCCCUCUUAUGAUUAAUAAUUAGUUAUGUUUUGACAAGAAUUCAAAUUCUUGGUUGUUUUAUAAUAAAUAAUUAAUUGUGUUUUUUAUUCAGAAAUAGUGUCUAAAUUGAAACACUUUACCAAGCAUUCAACUUUUUUAACUACAAAUUGUUAAUAUUUUUUUCUUAUCAUUAAUGCAAUAGUUAUAAAGGACAGAUAAAAGACAAGUUGAGAAGAAAAAAAUAUAUAAAAAAACUAUUAAUAUAAUUAAUGGAUUAUGAAAAUACUGAUUAUUUAACUUAUUUUAGCAUUAAAAAGAAUAUAUAUCCCUCUUUUAUCAUUUUGUUAAGUGACUCUGAUGGCGUGAAAUAUAUAUAUAUAUAUAUAUAUAUAUAUAUAGAUGUUUUACAAUUUUUUUAAAAAAUAAUUCUUAAAAAGUAUUUUUUAAAAUAGUUUUAAAUUAUUUUUUUAAGACAAAAUUAUGUUUGAUAACUCAUAUUAAAAAUUUAUCAAAUGUAUUUUCUAAAUUAUAAAACUAUUUUCCAUUGUAAAGAAAAAAACCUGAUUUCAAGAUAACUGCUUACUUUUUUCAAAUUUUCUUGGGGCCACUACCAUCUUAUGAAAUUGUUUUAAAAAAAAACCCUACAAAAAGGCUACUUGGUUAAAUGACUUCCAUUUUUAUUCGUCCUUGUUCAACAGUCGAAAUGAUUAAAUUUAACCAUACACGUUACAAGUCACAACUCAAAUGCUGAAUUAUUCGUUAUAUCAGCACCCAUCAAGGAGUAAGAACCACGGCAUCUUUGCAGGUCUCUUUUCUUUCACAAAGGAAUCAUCCCCAAAAUACGCAAUAGCUUUCUAGAGUGAAUUUCCAUAUCUUCUUGACUCAACCAUUUGAGUUCAAACCGAAAUUGCCUGGAAAGUGAUUUCCACCUAAUGGAACCAACCUUUUCUUUUCAAAGAAACUUCUUUCAAACUGGUAGCUUUACUGGAUUUAAAACCAACCACCUUGUUGUCAGUGGAUCAGCAACAACGACUGGAAACAAUGGCUGAAAGCAUUGUAACGUUUUUUCUAGAGAAGUUAACCGACCUGCUUUCGCAGGAAGCAUUUCUACUCAGCAGAGUAGAAGAGCAGGUGAAGCUGUUGAGUAACGAGCUCGAAUGGAUGCGCCUUUUUCUCAAAGAUGCGGAUGCAAAGCGCAGAUAUGAUCCAAGAAUCAAGCUCUGGGUGAGUCAGAUCAGGGACGUAACCUAUGAUGCCGAAGAUGUCAUCGACAGGUUCAUGUUCGAGAUGAAUCACCAACAGCAAGGAAGUCUCAAAUGUCUCAAGUUUCUUAAGUUAAGGUUUGUUCACAAGCUCGAGUCUCGAAUCAGAGAGAUCAACAUCAAGAUUGAGAAGAUUAUGGCUAACAAAUCAAGGUACGGUGUCGAAACUUUACCAGCUGCAAGCUCUUCCAACGAAGUUGUGCCACAGAAAGAGAAGAGGGUUCCGAUCGUUGAAGAAGUCAAUGUGGUGGGGAUACGAGAGGGUGCAAAAAGUGUGAAGCAAAUGCUGCUUAAUGGAGAGAGGCGGAGGGCAGUGGUGUCCAUCGUGGGCAUGGGUGGCUUGGGAAAGACCACCCUUGCUAAGAAAGUUUACAACGAUAAUGAUGUCCAGCAAUACUUUGAUUGUCAUGCUUGGAUUUAUGUCUCUCAAGAGUAUACAAUAAGGGAGCUUUUGCUAGGCAUUGCUGAUUAUGUUAUGGUUCUAUCCCAAAAGCAAAAGAGUCAAAUGAACGAGAGUGAGUUGGGGAACAGGCUUCGUGAUUACCUGACAACCAAGUAGUACUUGAUAGUUAUGGAUGAUAUAUGGAGAAAUGAAGCUUGGGAUAGGUUGAGCUUGUAUGUUCCUGACUCUAUGAAUGGCAGCAGAGUGUUGAUCACCUCCCGCAAUAAAGAAAUUGGUUUUCAUGCUGAUCCACAAACCAUUCCCCAUGAACUUCCCUUUCUAACUGAAGAAGAGAGUUGGGACCUCUUUCUCAAGAAAAUUUUUCUGGCUGGGAGUGCAAAUGCUGUUUGCCCCAGAGAAUUGGAAGAGCUGGGAAAGAAAAUUGUAGCAAAUUGUGGGGGUUUGCCCCUUGCAAUCGUGGUCUUGGGAGGCCUUCUAUCAAGAAAAGAAAAGACACCACUCGCCUGGCAAAAAGUACUUGACAGCCUAACUUGGCACCUAAAUCAAGGUCCAGACUCAUGUUUGGGGGUCCUUGCUCUAAGCUACAAUGAUAUGCCGUAUUACUUGAAGUCCUGUUUCCUUUACUGUGGCCUUUUCCCAGAAGACUCAGAAAUCAGGACAGAUAAGUUGAUCCGCUUGUGGGUUGCGGAAGGGUUUAUACAAAGAAGAGGAAAAGAAAUAGUGGAAGACGUCGCGGAAGAUCACUUACAGGAAUUGGUACAUAGAAGCAUGAUUCAAGUGGCUGACAAGAGUUUUGAUGGAAGAGUGAUGUCCUGUCGUAUGCAUGAUUUGCUUCGAGACCUUGCCAUUUCUGAGGCUAAAGAUACAAAAUUUUUUGAGGGAUAUGAAAGCAUUGAUUCUACAUCCCCUGUCAGUGUUCGUCGACUAACCAUUCAUCAAGGUAAGAAGACUAAUUCUGAACACUUGCAUAGUUCACGUCUCCGAUCUUUCAUUUGUUUUUCUGAAUGCUUCCAAGAAAACAUUUUAAGAUCUUUAUACAGGGGUGUCAAAUUGCUCACUGUACUGGACCUAGAGAGCAUGGAUAUCUAUACCCUCCCAGAAGGUAUAGGAGAACUUAUCCACCUUAAGUACUUGUGCUUAAGGAGAACCCGCAUAGAAAGGCUUCCAUCGUCCAUAGGUCAUCUUAUUAAUCUACAAACCCUAGAUUUUCGAGGCACUUUAAUUGAAAUAAUUCCUUCUACCAUUUGGAAAUUGCACCAUUUGAGACAUCUAUAUGGUCAUGGUGUGGUUUCAAGGCAGUCAGUGAUAGAUAAUUGUAUGAAUGGUCCUUUGGGUGUUGACCACCUAACAGCCCUCCAAUCAUUAAGUUUAAGAGCAGGAAGGUGGUGCAGUGCAGAAGGGUUAGGAAAAUUAACCCAGCUUAGAGAACUGAAAAUCCGAUGGACUGAAAUACCUCAAAUAAUGUGCAAGGGCUUUUCUGAAUCUGUUGAAAAAUUAACUGCUCUUCGAUCCUUGUAUUUGUACACCACUGACGGAGAGGAAACAUUAGUCAUGCCACAACUCAUGCCUUUCUUACACCACACACACCUUUACCAUGUUCGUUUAGGGGGGAAGCUCGAGAAGUUUCCCAAUCAAAUUGAAUUCUACCCCCCAAACCUUAUUCAGUUGGAAUUGGAAUAUUGUAAUAUAAAGCAAGACCCAAUGGUGACUCUGGAGAAGCUGCCAAAUCUAAGGAUUCUCCAGUUAUUGUAUAGUUCAUACAUGGGAAAGAAAAUGGUCUGUUCUUCGGGAGGAUUCCAGCGACUGGAAACCCUUAAGCUCAAGGGUUUGAAAGAACUAAGAGAGUUAAUUGUGGAAGAAGGGGCAGUGCCAGAUCUGAAGGUUUCAAUAAUUGCCAGUUACCAUAAAAUGGCAAGACUUCCUCGCGGAUUGCUGCAGCUAGAAAAUUUGCAGUACCUAGAGUUGUUUCAGUUGUCACAUAAAUUGAUUGAGGAGGUAAAUCAGACAGAAGGAGAAGAUUGGGACAAGAUCCGGCUUAUCACCUCCAUAUUACAGUAGAGAAAAGGUAACCUGACGGCUCAGGAUCCACACAGCUUGGGCAGUAUUGAGGGCACAAAAUUUCUGAUGCAAUAAAUCUUUCUCUACUUGUCUAAGUAUGUGUUUUUCUUUUUCUUUUGUAUUUGCGUACGAUAAUUCCCUUGCUUCCAUGGCCUCAAAUAAAUUGUUCAUGCAGUUUGUAAUCAAACCCUCACAAUGAAGCUCCAACAGAAAAUAUAAGAGAGUGAGAGAAUGGCCUCCUAAUAUCAAAGAUGUUUUUUCCUUCUAUCCCACAUUGAUAUAUCACAACUAGGUUUAAUCCGAUACCUCAAAAGCAAUAGCAAUUAGAACUGAACGGAUCCAUUAAUUAACAAAUCGGACUACCAGUGUUGCUUCAAUCUGAUCAGAAAUGAUCUAUUAACAUCUGCCAUUACCCCCAUUAGCAGAAUUCAUCUUUUUUUUUUCUUUCACUUUUUCAUCAGCAGCAUGAUCCUUAAACCACUUGUAACAUUACUACAUCAAAUACAUAACAAAUCCACAAAUAGAUUUCUAUUUGCAUAAUCAACUAAGUCUAAUAGUCUAAUGAUGAAAAUCAUAUUGCUGACAACCCAGUUGUUCGGCCGUUUCAUUUUUUAACUCUCUCUUCCGAUACUUAAAAGCGGUGACAAAAGAUUCUUACAUAUUUCAAAUUUUCGGCGGCUGAUGAUCCGAGAUUCAACCUAGAAUUCAAUAUAAAAAAAUCCGCCGACAUAUCAAACAAGUAUAACAUCGAUUGAACAAUAUACCCACAAAUUUCCUCAGAAAUCAAGGUUUUGAUCGAGCUACGUAUCAAUUAAAACUUUCGACCGUGUCCUGCAAGAUCCAUAGAUUCAUGGAGAGAUUUGACCUGCUAUUGUAAAGAAUACGCCGUCUGGCGAAGGAGCUUGACAGAGGAUCGGAGGAUGCUGGUGGAUCGACGCCACGAGCUUGUCGGAGGAUGAUUGUUGAUGUGGAUCGAGUGUCUCAACUAAAUUAUAUUUUUACUCUUUAUAUUUAUAUCAACGCAUUCACAUUAUUGAAGAUACUAAAAAUAAUUAUGUUUUACAUUUCAAAUUCAAACAAGAUAAUAACAUUAUAAGAUUCAUAUUUUAGUUGUAAUUAAGUUGACAAACAAAUUAUGUACACUCAAAAGCGUUUCUCAAUAUAACAUAUUAAAACAUUAUUAAAAAAUUCAAACACAAAGAUUGUCCUUAAAGGUGUUUCUCCUAAAAUGGAUACUAAAAAUACAUAAUAAAUUAAAAAUAUUUUAAUUAGAAUAACUUUCAAAUGGGUUCUAAAAGGUCUGAAAACGGCAAUAUCAAAACUUAAAUAAAGGCAAUGAAUUUUUAACUAUUCAUCCACCAAAAGCAACCGAAGAAAGAGAGCUUGACCCGGAUAAAAAUCUCUCUUGUACAGGGAUCCUUCCCUUUUUUUUUUUUAAGGUAGCAGCCAUCUGAAGGAAAGAAGCUAGAGUCCUUGCAAAUUAAUUUUCAAACUGAUAAAUUCGUUACAGGAUGUCCAGAAUAGAACUAUGGAAUUAUACUUGGGUGUUGCUCAUUGAAUUAACAACACAUAAAUAAGGUACAUCAAGUUUAUCUGGUUUGGUAGGGGCCUGAUCUAUAACAAUUUAAUGCUCUAAGAAUUAGGAGUUUACCAGAAUUAACCACCACGAUUACAGAUGGCAGCAGAACCCUGAGAAUCAACCGCAGGAGAAUAACCUUUGAAGAAAAACAACAAUAGCCUUAUUUCUCAUGAACAAGAGGGCUGUAAAUGGGGAACCACAUAUUACGUAUGAUGUAUUCCACCGUCUCCUCCUGCAUUCACAAUCAGCAAAAAAGGAGUGUCAUUAUAUUUACACUUGUUUUGGCAGCAUUUCCUAAAUAUUUUUCAAAAAAAUAGUUUUUGAAAACAGUUAUUAAUUGUUUUGUAAAAACAGAAUUCUAUUUGAGAACUCUACAUAUAAAAAAAAGAGUUUUCUCAACAUAUUUUCUGUGAAGGGUACUACAUACUGUACAAUGUAAAAGUUUACAAAAUAUUUUUUAUAUUUUUUAUUGUUGGUCAUAACACCUUAUAAAAAAAACAACAAAAAAUACUUAAAAUUUAUUCUCAAAAAUAAUCCUUUUUCAAAACAAAUUCUCAAAAUACUGUUUUCGAUCACAAGCCAAACUUGUUUUCUAUUCUAAAGAAUAAAAAUUUGUUUUUAAGGACAGUUUCCAAACAGACCUUAGGUAAUUUGUGCUUCUUAUAAUAUUCUCAUAUUUUCUCUUUUUGGCUUACAUUCAUCAUUUGAUAUUAAAAGCUCUAAUAUGGUGCAUGUAUGUGUAAUUAAAGGCCAUUUUUACCAAAAUGAGCCCAUGUUUUCGCUAGUAAGAAUUAUUUGAAAUCAGAUCAUACCUUUGACAUGUGCUCAAGCUCUCUUGGCCCCACAUCACCGUGUCCUUCAGCCAGUUCUUCAGCAACAGCAGCUCGCAAAACAGCAGCUCCAACCUCUGCUGUAAUAUGCCGAAUGCUGCAUGAUACAUAAAUACCAAAGAGGAGGUCAUGCCAUGCCAUUGAAAAAUGAGAAUUGAGUUCCCUUCACCUCUAUAACUAAGCAAUAGAACCACCUAUCUAAUGAAGAUAACAUGGACUGUAUCCCAUUCUUUCUUUUAGUUCAGGGUGCAAAGCACUUCCAGCAAAUACUGAGCACUUAACUUCAGACAUUUUAGAAAGAGAAAUCCAAAACUAAAUUAUUGAAUUGGGCAUGCAAUGGAAAUGAGAAGAAAUAGAAUCAAGAGAAGAAUAUAGUAAUGUUUAACAGUAUGAACUGAUCGUUACUUGGGUAUAUCCAUGGCAUAACAUGAUUAGAUCCAAAUGUUAGUGGGCUAAUGGAUUUGUUUAUACAAAAUAUAACUGAUUUCCAAUCAAAACCUACAACUCACUAGGGCCUCUACCAUCAAUCUAGUAUAGGAUGAAUAAGUUAUUGGGUAACUUGGAAAUCGGGUUACACACUAUUAUCCUUGCCACAAAUACAUCUACAGAGUGAAAUUUUUUUAUUGACUAUAUGCUUUUUAUGAAAGCUAAAAUUUUUAGCAGCAUUUUUAAGAAUUUUCUAUUCUGUCUUAUUCAAUUCAAAUAUCAGAAAACGAGUAGAUGAAAGCAACAGUAAUUAUCACAGGGAACCAAGAAAUUACCUGUCGAUGGAUGGAUACAAGAUGCCAUUUUGGGUUUCCUCAUCACUCAUAUAAGAAGCAAGGCUGUGAAGAUAUCAUCAUAUUAGCAACUUAGCAUGGAAAAAAAUGCUUCAUGCCAGGUUAUACUAUCCAAAAAGAACACAGAUAAAUCAACCUUGGGUUAGAACAUAUCUAGCAUAAUACAUAAAUGCGAAGUUCAUAUAACAUUCCCCAUAUGGAUGCCAACCACAUAUUUCUCCUAUAUAAUCAUUCAUUACACUAAGACAUACAUCAUUUUUGUUAUUUGUAUGAUUGCGUUGUACAAUUUUACAAAAGUAUCCAGAUGUUAGUUUUGACCAUGGACCUGGUAAAGAAAGAAAAAAGUUAAAUCUGACAUUUAGUACAAAAGGCCUCCUAGAACUCCUGCAGAAAGAUUAUGUGAUUAUUUCAUUCUUUGUGGACUUGAUCAUUCAACAGUCACAUAGCCAUUGCAACAGAGAUAAGAUUUUUGGAUAAUAAGCAUGUGAAAACAACGGAAAAAAGAACCAGAAGAAAUAGCUUCUCAUUUAAGGUUAAGAUCUUAGCAUCCACAUUACCGACUAAGUCUACAUGUGAAAACAAAGAGAGCUUCAAGUAUUAAACACAUGCCAGGUCCAUCCCUGCCAAUAAACUUAGAAAUACGAGAGCUGUUAGCAUUUAUAACUUAGAGCCCAUUGGGAGUGAUUUUGAGAAGGCUAGAAAUGUUGUCUAAUGUUUGGAACCGCUUCCUUAUAAAAAUUAGGUGUUUGGUAGAUAUUUGAAAAUCACUUUGGGAAUCUGGAGAAUCACUUGAAGUGAUUCAAUAUCAAAGCAAUUUUUGUUGUUUAUAUCCAAACACCAACUGAUUCUCCUUAAAAUCAUUUCCAAUGAAAGUAUUAUGGAGUAAACACGGUUUAACCAGAAUCACUCCCAAACAGGCUAUUAGUAAAUUUAGUCUCAACCGGCUAUUUGUAAACUAAAAUUGAAGCUUAAUUUGAUGUUUCAAACAUGGAUUUUGACAUCAGAGAAAUCCCUUUUUCUGUGGAUAAAGUUCUUAUAUUCACAUUGAACCUUAAAAGUCAGCAAUUCGGUAAGGGCCUGUUCCACGAUGAACUGACUUGACUGAGAUAGUGUAGAUUAAAGAAUGCACAGAAUGACUGAUGAAGCCUCAAUGAAGACAAGAGGAAAGUAACAAAUGAGAGAAAUGCCAGAAAAUCCCACUGGGCCUCCAGGCACUGCCACAUCUUGUGGAGACGAGGUAAACAAUCUGAUAAGAUAACAUUGUAUGCUUGUAACAAAUAAAGAAUGCUGUAGGCCAAUUGAUGACUCUUAGGAAUACAGGCUCAACUGUAACCAAGAUCAUAAUUUUUUUUUUUUGGUAGCCGAAAAAAGGGACUUGCAUUAGAAGCACCUAAAAGACAGCGAAACAAGUACACACGAAGCAUACAAACAAAGCCCAAAAAAAGCAAGGAGACCAAAAAAAACCUUUCUCCAUACCUAACAAACAACCACUUUACAAAAUCUAUCAAAGACAAUGUGUGAUCCUCUAUAUACACCCUACACCAAUUCACAAAAGUAUACAUGAAAAUAGAUUUAAUAGCUUGGUCGGAUCGCUCGACAUCAUUGAAAGCUCUUCUAUUAUUGCUUUCUCUCCAGCACAAAAUGUCCUCCACUUCCCUUCUAACAACCAAAGAUUGUAAUUUAUGAAACAAAUUAUCCACCUCUCCCAUCUCCUAGUCACUAAGAUGUCUUGAAAAGCGAGGGCUAUAUAUGGAUUCUUGUAACCAAGAUCAUAAUGUGGAUUCUUUUUCUCCAAUAUGUAUUUUCUCUAUAGGGAACCUUACCAUCGCUCUCAUCUCCUUUGAAAUAAAUGUAUAUUCACUAUUUUUAACUUCAUAGCCCCUAUAGAAAGCCAACAGGCAUCAUAAUUAAUGCCAAGAGUGACUUAUAAUACCAAAGUUUUCUGGAAUGCACAGAAUUACAGGAGAUGGGAAUACAAGCCCAACCCUGAUAUUGCAAUUUCAAGGACUCUAACGAGAGUCUGGGCAGACUUCUUUCAUUGUUUGUACAAAGAUCAGGACAGCGCUAUAAAUUUUACCAUAAUUAGUUGAAGGCCACAAAAGUCAAAUAAACUAUUUUUCCUAAGGAUUCUUCAAUUUUGUAAAUUUUGGUUUCUCUAAGGGAUACAAAUAAUGUUUAAGUGCAAGGAAGAAAGUAACUAUUUCACUCAUACCAUUCAGCAGCUGCUUGCAACAUGCCAUCUGAAAUAAAAUGAGCACCUGCGAGAAGAGUCCCCAAACCAAUCCUGAAUUAUAGACAACAAAGUUCUAUAUGAAUUUAAUGACAGUCUAGGAAUAGCCCAUAAAUUAGUAAUGACUAAGAAAUGAGCACGAACCCAGGAAACAGGUACAUAUUAUUUGCUUGAUUUACAUGACCUACUUUUCCAUUCCCUGCAAACAAGUAUAGGAUUGUAAGUCAUACAAAUCAAACAAUAAGCAAAAAUGCCAAUAAGUGGCCCAGUAGCCAGCCCUUGCUGUAUGUCUAGAAGAGGCCAGGGUUCAAACCCCUUCCACCUCAACUCCUUUUGGCUAAGUUAAAAAAUUCAGCCUGUUCUUAGAAAACUGGUCGGUCCAUCCAGUUCAAUGGUCAAACCAUCAGGUUGGCCAGUCCAAGGAGGUCUAAUAAGAAAAUGAGCCAAUUCAAGACUCAAACCAGAAAAUGGUCUGGUCAACAGUGGAACCAGUCCAAGCAGCCUGUGUUGUCCGAGUUUAAAAACAUUGAGGAAGGGAGUGGAACCUAUUGCUUAAUGUUAGGAUGGAAAAAUAAUUCAAACACAAUUAGCAUUCAUAAGAAGGAAAGAUACCUAGAUUAACAUUUGCAAAAGGACUCCCACUUGCAAAAACAAUAUUUUCUCCUGCAUGCUUGAAAGCAUCAGCAGCUGUGCACUCAGCUACACCAUAGAAUAUGCAAAGAAAAAAAUGUCAAUGGAGGCCAUAUGUCUGCCUGAAAUAAAUGUAAGUGCUUGAUAGGGUUUGCAACACAAACCAUUCAUGGUGGGAUUUGACAUUGCAAAAAUUGCAGGUUUGGUAGAAUCGGAUUCUCGCAUGGCCUUAAGCACCUGAUUUAUGUGCCAACAAUACAAAUAAGGAACUCAGCCACUUACAAGUACGCAUGCUUACAAUGAAAUGUAUCAUUAAACAGCAAUAGGGGAUGCUACCUUAAUAACACAAGGUAUAUACGCUCAUCACAGAAUUAAUAGGCUAAAACCUCACAUAAAUAAACAAAAACUAUUCAUCCCUAAAAGGUUGUGCCCAUGUCUGCAGCGAGUGAUGAGGAAAACAAACUUGUAAAAGAAUUUUUUUUUAUUAGUAUAUAAAACAUUACUCUUUUCAACAAAAUAUUCGAAGAAAUCAGCUCACCCAUGAAUCUCCAAAUACAUUGCCAAAGAAUCAUAUAAGGUAUAGACACACCAAAUCACAAUGUUCAUCAACAACUAGCAAUAUAGCAUGCAGGUCCAAAUAGAUAAAAUCAAUUUCACUUUUUUAAUAUGCUUUAAAAAGAUAUAGAAACAAACUAGAGGGAUGCCCACCUCCUCAUUGAAGACACCACCAACUCCAGACAAACCAAGAAGCACAUGGGGUUUAACCUUUUUAACCUGAAACAUUUGUUUUCAGCAAUUACAAUUCCUGAGUAAUGAUGAUAUGUAAAAUUGUCAGCUAGUCAAUCUUUUUCCUUCCACAUUCUAUCAUCCUUAAUAAAACUUAUACUGAUAAAGGCAGCUUAAAUCAAUCUAAUAUGAUUUACCACUUCAAGUAAACUAGCUCCCUCUCUCAGUCCCUCAAUCUCUCCUGGGCCUUUAGCAAAUGGUGCUGCAGCUGGAUCUAUAUUUUUCCUCUCUUUUGUGAUGAGACCCUGCUUCCAAACAAAUCUUUCUCAAGCAAAGUUGAAUAAUAAGUUGAAUGGAUGAUUCCAAUGCAUGUUCAACCUAAAGCCACACCCUAUAGAUUUCUGUACAGUGAGAUUUAAUGAUACUGAUUCAUUAACAUAAUUUUUUCCACUACCAUAUAGAUGAAUAUAUGAUUUCUAUUAGACCUCUAUAGGAUGAAUAUAUUCUAGUUAAAUGUGCUUUUUUCCAAAAUCGAGGAUGAGAACCCACUAACAUAUUGUUAGACCACCAAAGUGAAAAGUGAUUAAGUGCAGAACCACACAUCUUUAUCUAGUAGAUAAAAUUGAUGAUUUGGUGAUGCCCCAGUGUUCCCAGCAAUCCUUGAGGCAGCCUGUGCAGCCAUAUUAAGCACACCAAUCCCUGCACUGCAGUCCAGAUAAAAGAACACAAAGAAGUAAAGAGAAGCCUCCAAUAACAAGCACAUACAGCUGAAGCCAAAGUUCACCAAAAGUUCUCAUUCACAAAUUCACUUCUAAAAAAAAUACCUUCCUGCUCCAACUACAACUAUCUUUUGGUUGACAAAGUCAGUCAACGGUCGACCUUGUGCUCUAACAGUUCCUAAAAGUCCCGCCAGAGCAACACCAGCAGUUCCCUAUAAGACAUGAAUAUAAGCACAAACAGAACUCUGCAUCACAUCAUAUGCUUUACUAUAUCCAUAUAAAAUAGCAGAUCCAACUAAAUACUAACCUGUAUGUCAUCGUUGAACAUGCAGAACUUUUUACGAUAACGUUGUAGUGUUUCAAAAGCCCACUUCAUUUGAAAAUCCUCAAACUGAUAUGAUUUUCCCAUCCAUCCAGUUAACAAUAUGACAUGCAUUAGAUAAAAUAUGACAAUAGUUGUAGAUUUAAAGAAAUGAACCUGUACAAUAGCCUUGGGCCAACGAGUGAAAAUAGCUUCCAUUAAUUCAUCAACAACUGAUAGAUACUCUUCUCCUUCCAAUCUAGGUUGCCGAAGUCCUAAAUCUGUCAAACUAAAGUCAUGUGAAAAGAAAUCCUUAUGGUGUUUGCUGGAAAGAACAAGUUAAUUAGUACUUUGCGUAGUUCACACAUUCCCCUAUUCUAGAUGAAUAUGAAGAGAACAAAACAAUCAAAUAGUCCAUAUGAUUCAAAGUCAGAUAGGGAUAAACCUGAACUAAUAAAUCAAUGUUCGAAUUUUUAACAAUGGGUGGUAGAUCCAACUUGAAGGAAGAAAAAAUUAACAUGCAUUUAAAAAAAAAGUCCUGAUAGGUUCCUGUGGACCAUAAGUGUGAGAAAUAAAAUAGUUUUUGAGGUAAAUAAAAUGAAACAAUUAACAAAAGGACACCCUAACUCGAGGAUUCAAAGGGCUCGAAAAUCUUUAAGAUGACGGACUAAAAAAUGAAGGUUGAUAUUACUUUCAGAAAACAACAGUCAUGAUACAACAAUACCACCAGACCUCAUCUGACUAUCAAAUUUUUUUUUUGAUUGGAAUCAUCUGACUAUCAAAUUCAGUCUAGAAACUUAAAUGGAACUGGGGCAUGGUUCUAAAACUUGGUAUUAAAUUGUGCAAAGCCAGCUAACUCAAAUUUGGAUUGAAUGCCUGACUAUCAAAUCAAAGUAUAUUUGGGCAGAACAAAAUCAUUUCUCUUCAUUUUUCCACUACAAGAUUUUAAUUCUUAUGCAAAAAAAUUUCUGUUCUGCUUAUCAUUGUUUAUUCGCAUCAUAAUCUCACAGAAAUGGCAACAACCACCAGGCAAGAAGCCUCUUUUGUUUUUAGUAAUAUACCAACUAGAACAUUUUUUGACUGAAAGUUUCAUAUAAUCAUCUUAUGAUACUGAUCACAUAUGAACUCUGUCUCACAAUCAAACUAUCUUUGUACUAAUGUAUAUUUGUUUAAGCAUGAGGGAGAGAGAGAGAGAGAGAGGAACUCAAUCUUAAGGUGUAGCAAACACCUAAAAUCUCACUAUUCUGUAAAAAUGGAUAAUACCUCCAAUUAUAACAAGCAAACAAAUGUAAUCAGAUAGAUUUAAUAUGCAACUGGCAAAGUAAAAAAAGGCAUAACUAAUCUACACGUAAUAUUAUUAAAAGCACAAUUAAAUAACCAAAAAAAAAGAACUCCCUCAAAAAAAAAAAAAAUGAAUUGGGCUUCUGAAUUAGGAAAUAAGGAAAAAAUACAAGUGCACAUAUUUCUGCUUACAAAGGCGAUCUUCGAGAAGCCUUUGGUUGUUAGUGCCAACAUCAAGCAUAAUUGGAAGUAUCUGCCAGAGAUAAACAUAGGUUGAUUAAUGAAAAAAGAAAACAAAAUUGAUAACCAUAUCAAGAACAAGAAAAAUAGUUGAAUACUUAUUAUAAAUUUUGCCUUCAAAAAAAAAACAAGAAAGAUAGUUAAAACAUAAACAUGUAAUUACCAAGGCUGGAUUGAUUAGUAUUGUGUUUGAUGUAAUUUGCAGAACCAUGGGUUAUCACUAAAUAAUAAGAAUCACAUCUAUAAUCAGGUACUUAUAUAAUGCAUGUGUGUGAGCAUAUCAUAAACACAAACCUGUACAUAUCAUAUAAAAAGUGCAUUCACACAUGCACUUGCACAAACACGUAUUCAUGAUGCAAAUCCUAGCCAUGCUGUAAUGCACACCAAAAUAUAGCACUUCCCCUUUGUCAUCCAGGAACCAUGUGCCUGUGUUUGUGCUUAAAAAGGUGUAUGAACAUAUGCACAUGCACACAGAAUGAGGAGCUGCACAUACUCUCUGUGGAUUGAUACCAGCAGCAGCAACAUACAUAUCAAGUUUCCCAAUAGGAAUUCCAAUUCCCUGAACUCCAAGGUCACCCAGACCAAGAAUACGACUGCCAUCUGUUAUCACUAUCAUGUCCACCUGCAACACAUAAGAGAAACAGAACGUCCAUUAUAAGACAAGAACAGUGAGAAAAACCUAAUCCUGCCACCAAAGAAUGCUGAAUACAACCAUUUUUACUUCUUAGUAACAAAGAAACUUUGAAGCCAUAAAUCAUAACACAGUCAACUACCGGCAAAAUCAUUGGUAAAAAGGUCAAUCAAGGGACAGUUACAAGACUAGGAAAAGGUUCUCCAUAGGGUGCAUAUCAAUUCUCCACUAAUGUUAUAUAAAUAUUGACUUUUCCAAUUGAAACUCUUGCAGACAAAUAGAAACAAGUAUAUAAUAACAGAAAUAUACAGAUAUGUGGUGAGUUUCACAAUGCUAGCAGUACUUCAAGCCAUCAUAACCAAUCAAGAUCCAGAAGCCAAAUUCCCAAAAUAUGUCAAAAGUUUGGACAGGUUACCUAGGAUAACAUAAAUGAUAUAUAAUAUAAUGCCAUAGGAUUAACAUAACUGAUAUAUAAUAUAAUGCUACAUUAAGAUGGACCAAAUCAAAAUUCCAAGGACUUAGCCACUCAGCAAAGAGGAAUUAAAAAGGCUUAAUCUAAAUAUCAAAGCAGAACUAACGAUCUAGACAAAACUCGAAUACAUGAAACUCAGAAACACUAAUUAUUUGGAUCAUAGUUAGCUAUUUAGGGUAUCAAGGAUAGAUAGGUGGGAGAAGGCACUUGGUAGUAUGGGAGAACAUAGCAUGGAGUAAAUCAAAAUGUCACUAGGACAACCAAUUGAUCUAAACAUGAAAUUCUCUGAAAUGACCAAGGAAUAGAAUACUUAUUUAUAGCCUUCACUAAGAGCCUCAUAAAGUCAACGACUGAACCAUGUGAACUAUCACCAUGUCUCAUAAUUAUUAUACAAAAUGGUGAACAAUGUGACCAUCCCUCCAAUUUUAGUUACAACUGUCUGUAAUUACCAGCCACCAAUUCAAAUCUAGAGCUAUCAACAACCACCAACUAUUAUCAUUUUUUGGAUGGUUUAGAAAGAAAGGAAUAGAUUAGCCUUUAGGGGGGGGGGGGGGGGGGGGUUUUGCAAUUUUAAGGUUUAAAAAUUUUUUUUUUUUUAAAAUUUGGGGGGGGGCAAAAUUUUUAAUGGAAAAGGGGCCCCCUUCCCUUUUAAAUUUCUCGGGGGGGUUUGCCCCCCUUAAAGGGGGGGUUUUUUUUUUGGGUUUUUUUUUUUUAGGGCUUUUCGCCCCUGGAAACCCCCCGGAAAAUUUGGGGGCCUUUACCCCCUUCUUAAAAAAAUUGGGUUGUUUUUCCAAAAAAAAAAAAAAAAANNNNNNNNNNNNNNNNNNNNNNNNNNNNNNNNNNNNNNNNNNNNNNNNNNNNNNNNNNNNNNNNNNNNNNNNNNNNNNNNNNNNNNNNNNNNNNNNNNNNCUUUUUUUUUUUUUUGGGGGGUUUAAAAAAAAAGGAAUAGUUUGCCCUUUGGGGGGGGGGGGGGGGGGGGUUUAGCAAUUUAGAGGUUUAAAUAUUCUUUUGUAUGUAAUAUUUGGGGUUGGGCUAAAUUGUAUAUGGAAGAGGAGCCGCAUUCCCUUUUAGAUUUCCUGGAGUGGCUUGCCUCCAGUUAAGGGGUGGUUUGUUUUUUGGCUUUUUGCUUGUUAGGUCUUUGCUGCCUUGUAUACGCCCUGUAUACUUUGGGGCUCUUUAGCCUCUUCUUAAUGAAUUGUGCUUGCUUAUCAAAAAAAAAAAAAAAACAACCACCAACUAUUAUAGUUCUCCUAAACUGUCUUUCAUGCUCUUUCCCAUCUUUUAUUUUUACUUCUAAACCUCCACCUUGGAUGAUACUACUGAAACAUCAAAAAAUCUAGAUCUUAGAUCCUACAUAUUUUCCUUCUCUACAUAUAUUUUCUUUUCUUUUAUGAGUAGUAGCUAUAUAGAUUGCGCAGAUUGCUGGAACAAUCUCAAGUUUUGAAUCCAGAUGUAUCUAUCUAAUCAAAUUCCUGCUGCUCCUUCAGAAGGAAGGAGCCAUUUGGAUUAUCCAAUGGUGGACCAUCUCCAUAAAAUGGUGUAUUCCAUCCAAACUCAACACAUAGGAUGCGUCAUAUUUUAAAUUAAGUUGGAUGCCAAAAAAUAAUGCCUCUGACAACUGUGAAGUUUGUCGUCCACUUGACAUAAAUCCUGUGAGCCAAUAUCAAACCAAAUGUGAAAAAUGCCAUUCCAUAUUAUAUCCAAACUGAUACAGAGAUAGACAUUAUGGCCUAAAGUGAGUUGAAACUUAGAGUCAUGGUUUCUGGGUUGUCUUCAAGAAAAGAAAGUCAAUGAUCAGUCAAAACAUAGAGUAUUAAAAUUAUUACCAGAUGGUUUUGUUGUACUCAAAUCAAAGAUUCACAUGCUUAAUCAUUCUAAAAGCUUGUAUUUUCAGUAAAUGAACAUUCAAAUAAGAAGACUCAAGAAUCUAGUCAGAAUAAACCUUGGUACCAAAUACAGAAGGAAAAAAGAUUUGGGCAUAAUUAAUUAGGUUUAAAACAACUAUAUUACAGAACACAGGAAAUUGAUUUUAGGAUUAGUUGGCUUUGUGGGUAUUGUUAUUUGAUAAUAAGAAAGGUGAGUUAUUAAUUUCAGCAUUUCAGAUUUGUCUUUGGGACUUAUUGAUUAGGUUCCAAACUCUCACAAGCUUUUCUAACCUAAAAUGUUGACUAUAAAGAUAUAACAAAUGGAAUGUUAAAUAAUAACUAUGGAAUAGGGAUAGAUAAAGGGGAAAUACCAUGUUUUAAUUAACUCUCUUCCAAGAUUCACACAGUACCUGGUGAGCUGGCCAGUUGUAGAUCAUGGACAUCAUCUCUCCUUUAUCCUUGCCACUGAAAUACAUUCCACGUGGACGUCUAAACAACCCCGAGUAGUUUUGACACACCAAUCCAACUGUGGGAGUGUAUAUUAUCGGUGCAAAGUCUUUGAUGUUAUCAAUAAGAACCUGGAUAAGAAAUCAAUAGGAUUGCUUUAUUAGAUUAAAAUGCUUAAAUGGGCUAAGAUUACCAGCUAGUAUGCACCACCACCAAACCUACCCGGUAGUACAGUGUCUCAUUCCUGUCAUGUAGUCUAUUUAAGAUCCUCCAUUUUGCUAAGGAUACAACACUAUCUGGUUGGCCCAGAGUAUUUUUCUCCAAUGACCGAUAUGACUCCACUAACAUUCAAAUAACAGAAUAAUGGGCUUAACCUCCACAAUAUAUAAUCAUCAGAAACAAACUUUAUUAGAAAGGAUGAAGAAAGUCAAAGUACAAAUGACAGAACAUUGGAAGGUAUCCCCAAAAAAUUCUGAUGCUGAUGUACUUCAAGAAAAGGGUUCUGAUACUUAAACCAGAAAAUCUGUAGGAGAUAUUGAUAUGCAGAAACUAUCAUAUUAUUCCACUUAAACUCCACAGUCAAAGAAAUUAAAUUCAAAGAUCAACCAAACUCUAGAGUUUUUGGAACCACAGGGAUUGUGUAAAUAAAAACAUGUUGUAUGGUAGCACAGGCAAAUUUCAUAUUGAUUCAUCCAUUACGCAGUUUUCAUGUGGUCAACUUAAUCCUGGGUCCAUAUGUAAGAUUCUUUCUAUACAAGUUAAUGGACUUGAACAGAAACGAGAAGCCAAAGUACAUGCUUUCAAACUUUUCAUCUCUCACAUUACUGUGCUACAGAGAGUCCAGGUCAUAUACUGUCAUCUGUCUUUAUAAAUUUAUUUGACAAGAAUGUGUGGCACUUUUUUCUUAGUAACGGUUAUUCAAAUCUAGAUAUUAGAUUAUGGCAUAUGUUGGAUGUCCUUCCUUUUUUUUUUUUUUUUGACUUAAUAAAUUAUUUCAUAUCCAUUAAAAUCAGUGAUUACAACUGUAUGAGUGGAUGCCUCUCUAUUUCAAAUUAAAAGUCUUACCAUAUAUGGUUUUAUGAAAAAACAAAGGUGUUUGGUAAAACUUAAUAUUUAAUGACAUAACAAAGCGAACAGAUGGGGGAGAAAGGGAGGGAGGGGUGGGAAGGAAAGGGAGGGAGGGAGGGAGGGAGAGGGAGAGGGAGAGGGAGAGGGAGAGGGAUUAUGCUGAAUAUAUGUCUCAUAUUGGUACUCCUGUAUUCCAUACCCUAGACAUGUAUAAGCCUCACAUGUGGUUUUAUCAAUGAAAACCCCUCAUCCUAAUGGGACGUUUCUCUCACUCAACAGGAUGCUCUCUUCAAUUUGCAGGAAGCCACUCUUUCACCUCCUGCUUCUCCCUCCCCCGUCACCUCCCUUUGUCUCUCAAUUUUGGCAAUAGCAUGAAAGGACCCUAUCUACCAAAUAAGUUAUUAUUCUCAAGAAACAGUAGAUAGCAAUUCAUAAAUUAAAAAACACUGAAGUCCACCCAGGCACUCUUUGUCUCUGUUGGUAUUUUUCUCCAGUAACAAGCUUGGUAGAACUCCCUAUCUCAUCACGUACCUAAUCAUACUCAAGAGACAAUGCCCCAGUUGAAUUGAUCAAUCAAAUAAAUGCUUGCUCAGUUUCUAUUUCCACAUGAAAUAGCUAUCAGAAAUACAGACAACCCUUGGCCUCAAUAACUCUGUUUAUUUUAAGAUUGAAGCAGAGUUGGGCUUUACAUUCACCAUAAACAUAAUUAUAUUAGUCAAG
Molecule: long non-coding RNA, 22452 nt
Filed under: Vitis vinifera (wine grape)
Lineage: Eukaryota; Viridiplantae; Streptophyta; Magnoliopsida; Vitales; Vitaceae
Description: long non-coding RNA (VVIN_LNC005262)
Source: RNAcentral